GCCGAUGUGGCUCAGGGGUAGAGCAGCUGAUUCGUAAUCAGCAGGUCGUCGGUUCGAAUCCGACCAUCGGCUCCA
RNAcentral lists this transfer RNA (75 nucleotides) under Desulfitobacterium sp. RNAcentral describes it as "tRNA-Thr". It matches the Rfam family "tRNA". From Rfam's summary of the family: Transfer RNA (tRNA) molecules are approximately 80 nucleotides in length. The record is from RNAcentral. Lineage: Bacteria; Bacillati; Bacillota; Clostridia; Eubacteriales; Desulfitobacteriaceae.